UGAGAGCCUUUUACCAUUCUCAUUGGA
This 27-nucleotide non-coding RNA is filed under the name Mus musculus (house mouse). The record is from RNAcentral. Lineage: Eukaryota; Metazoa; Chordata; Mammalia; Rodentia; Muridae.